CAGCAGCCGCGGGAAUACAGAGGGUGCGAGCGUUAAUCGGAUUUACUGGGCGUAAAGCGUGCGUAGGCGGCUUUUUAAGUCGGAUGUGAAAUCCCUGAGCUUAACUUAGGAAUUGCAUUCGAUACUGGGAAGCUAGAGUAUGGGAGAGGAUGGUAGAAUUCCAGGUGUAGCGGUGAAAUGCGUAGAGAUCUGGAGGAAUACCGAUGGCGAAGGCAGCCAUCUGGCCUAAUACUGACGCUGAGGUACGAAAGCAUGGGGAGCAAACAGGAUUAGAUACCCGCGUAGUCCCUGUCUCUUAUAU
RNAcentral lists this ribosomal RNA (301 nucleotides) under uncultured bacterium. RNAcentral describes it as "partial 16S ribosomal RNA". It matches the Rfam family "Bacterial small subunit ribosomal RNA", at positions 509 to 809 of the family's 1533-position model. The record is from RNAcentral.